UAAAUAGAAGUGAAACUGCAACCUUCAUCCUCCACCGUUUCAACUAUUGCAGUCGUCCGAUAUUUCCUCCAUUCUCUCUCAUCACUUCAGUCUGAUUUUUCUAGAGUUUUUUAAGGUUAGAUCAUUUCUUACUUCAACAUUGUACUUUGUAUUAUACUAUGUAAAUCUGAGACGUUUUAUUUAUGUCAAGUUUUUGCUAUUAUGCUAGGUGUUUUAUGUUUUUG
This 224-nucleotide long non-coding RNA is filed under the name Lathyrus oleraceus (garden pea). Its description in RNAcentral is "Pisum sativum (pea) long non-coding RNA (PSAT_LNC011577)". Lineage: Eukaryota; Viridiplantae; Streptophyta; Magnoliopsida; Fabales; Fabaceae. The record is from RNAcentral.